Molecule: ribosomal RNA, 240 nt
Filed under: uncultured Geobacteraceae bacterium
Lineage: Bacteria; Pseudomonadati; Thermodesulfobacteriota; Desulfuromonadia; Geobacterales; Geobacteraceae
Description: partial 16S ribosomal RNA
Rfam family: Bacterial small subunit ribosomal RNA
Source: RNAcentral
CCUUAGAGUUUGAUCCUGGCUCAGAACGAACGCUGGCGGCGUGCUUAACACAUGCAAGUCGAACGUGAUUGAGAGCUUGCUCUCAUGAAAGUGGCGCACGGGUGAGUAACACGUGGAUAAUCUGCCUGGCGAUUCGGGAUAACACUUCGAAAGGGGUGCUAAUACCGGAUAAGCCCACGGUCUCUUCGGAGAGCGCGGGAAAAGGGGGCCUCUGUAUAUGCUCCUGUCGCUAGAUGAGUC